AUUAUAUCAUGAUCAUGUUCCUCAAAUCAAUGAUAAAAAGUAAAAUAACAAAAAUUACCGAACUUCAAGGAAAAUUUAAAUCGGAAAGAUUUCUUUUGAAAUGGCAAAAAUUGAAAGCUAAAAUGCAUCAAACGAAUGGACAACAACUGUCAUAUUCCUGAUUUGAUACAGGCAUUUCCUUGUGUAGAAAAUGGUAGACGAAACCCGGUUAAUAGCUAGCUAAACAUCUCACUUGUAUGACAGUCGCUUAAAUUAUAUUGACAACAAUGUGUGAACAAAACAGCCAGACAUAUUAAUUAAAAAUGUCAAAAUUAGGGGUACAGCAAUUAACAUUGUGUUAUUAUCUUAAUCACUAUAAAACAAACAAAUAUGUCCACAGAGAACAAUAAAAUGGCAUAUAAACAAUGCACAAAGGCAAAAAUCAAAUACAAGAAUAAAAAAAAAUAACAACAGCACAACAGUUCAUUUGCGGGAUUCAUAAGUACAAAGCCAGGCCAAUAGGAUUUCACCAAAAAGAACUAAACAGUAAAAGUUAAUAAUAUUUAAUAAGACAAAUAAAAGAAC
This 564-nucleotide long non-coding RNA is filed under the name Mytilus galloprovincialis (Mediterranean mussel). Lineage: Eukaryota; Metazoa; Mollusca; Bivalvia; Mytilida; Mytilidae. The record is from RNAcentral.